AUUGAACGCUGGCGGCAGGCCUAACACAUGCAAGUCGAGCGGAUGAAGGGAGCUUGCUCCUGGAUUCAGCGGCGGACGGGUGAGUAAUGCCUAGGAAUCUGCCUGGUAGUGGGGGAUAACGUCCGGAAACGGGCGCUAAUACCGCAUACGUCCUGAGGGAGAAAGUGGGGGAUCUUCGGACCUCACGCUAUCAGAUGAGCCUAGGUCGGAUUAGCUAGUUGGUGGGGUAAAGGCCUACCAAGGCGACGAUCCGUAACUGGUCUGAGAGGAUGAUCAGUCACACUGGAACUGAGACACGGUCCAGACUCCUACGGGAGGCAGCAGUGGGGAAUAUUGGACAAUGGGCGAAAGCCUGAUCCAGCCAUGCCGCGUGUGUGAAGAAGGUCUCCGGAUUGUAAAGCACUUUAAGUUGGGAGGAAGGGCAGUAAGUUAAUACCUUGCCGUUUUGACGUUACCAACAGAAUAAGCACCGGCUAACUUCGUG
Molecule: ribosomal RNA, 484 nt
Filed under: uncultured bacterium
Lineage: Bacteria
Description: partial 16S ribosomal RNA
Rfam family: Bacterial small subunit ribosomal RNA
Source: RNAcentral